CAUCAAAUGGCUGAAAGUAAGCAAUGGAAUUUUAAACCAUUUUAUAAUAAUUAACAAAUAUUUUUGAUGA
This 70-nucleotide transfer RNA is filed under the name Sermyloides sp. BMNH 846593. RNAcentral's name for it is "tRNA-Lys". Lineage: Eukaryota; Metazoa; Arthropoda; Insecta; Coleoptera; Chrysomelidae. The record is from RNAcentral.